CAUGCAGCCCGCCCUCGCAAGCCUCCACAGAAACAAGCGACGAGCACUGCCUUCACCUCCCGUCCAGCGUCAUCAAAACGACCCGAGCAGUGACUAAGUCACCUCCUAACAGCCAGGACUACGUCUGAGUUGACGAAGAAAUGGCAAGAAGCGACGUCAACUACAGCGCCCAUCAGCCGUCUGACGACUCCAGAGUAAUGGAGGGAGGACAAGUCGUUGUCCUGCAGCAAAUUGGAGGAGUCUUUGCCACAGCUUGACACUACAUCCCCAAACGGAGAAGCAGAAUUUGCGGGGUCAGGACAAGGGACAGCGACCUCCUUUCACUUUACAGCUACAAACCCUGUGGACAGCAAGAAAAGUGGAGCCGCUGGCGCCAACCAACCGCAUCCGCUGUGCCUUGCAUGACAACAAGGAGUCGAGGACGAAUUCAAGGUGUCUGAUACUGGUGUCAUGGAGGCGAUUUAAAAGAGAUUUAUCUGUAACACUCAAGUUGCCAAAGAUUAAAAACCACGCAAGACAUUACACAGUUGUUGCAGGUAUCUGCUCUUGUGGCUGCCAUUGAACGAGACUCCGCCAAAUAGAGGGAGAGUGUCGCGCGUGCAUUACUGAAGUCUGUGGGGACGUGAACACGUUAUCACUGGAACACGACGUGUAAGCUUUACAAACACACACACACACUAAACAAACACACACACACACUAAACCAAACACACACAAACAUACACUAAACAUACAUACCCCGAUCAUACGAAAUCUUGGAACGGAUGUAGCCCAUUCUCAAAAGAUUAGUGUGCAUGAAAAGGUAGGUUAUCUUUUGAAAUCUUUUUAAUCUUUAGAAAACAAUUUUCUAAUACAAUAAUUGAAGUUAUCUUUACAAAGGUAUUAAACAAAUAUCAUAUU
Molecule: unclassified non-coding RNA, 900 nt
Filed under: Pomacea canaliculata
Lineage: Eukaryota; Metazoa; Mollusca; Gastropoda; Architaenioglossa; Ampullariidae
Description: uncharacterized LOC112571897, transcript variant X7
Source: RNAcentral